CCAGAAGUUGUUCACAGCAAUCCGUGCCCUGUUCCUGGCUGUCUGUGUCUUGAAGGUCAUUGUGUCCUUGGCUUCCUUGGGAGUAGGUCUUCGAAACUUGUGUGGCCAGAGCUCCCAGCCCCUGAAUGAGGAAGGAUCAGAGAAGAGGCUACUGGGGGAGAAUUCAGUGCCCCCUUCGCCCUCUAGGGAGCAGACCUCCACUGCCAUUGUCCUGUGAGCCGCCAAAGACCCCAUGGGGUGCCCGCAUGUCCCUGUCUAGGGCAGCCCAGGGCCCCCACUCCUGGCUCCUCACACUUGCCUCCCCUAUGGCCGCUCUCCAGACCCUCCUCCUUUCUUCUCCCCACAUCCGCACCUGCUGUUCCCACUCCGGGGUUCUCAAGUCCAUGAACAGAUAUUGCUGCAUUUUCCACAAUGCUGAUUAAACAUAAUAAACAAUCCAGAAAAGCAGUUUUGCCCAGA
Molecule: long non-coding RNA, 459 nt
Filed under: Pan troglodytes (chimpanzee)
Lineage: Eukaryota; Metazoa; Chordata; Mammalia; Primates; Hominidae
Description: long non-coding RNA NONPTRT016433
Source: RNAcentral